AACGAACGCUGGCGGCAUGCCUAACACAUGCAAGUCGAACGAGACCUUCGGGUCUAGUGGCGCACGGGUGCGUAACGCGUGGGAACCUGCCCUUAGGUUCGGAAUAACUCCCCGAAAGGGGUGCUAAUACCGGAUAAUGUCUUCGGACCAAAGAUUUAUCGCCUUUGGAUGGGCCCGCGUUGGAUUAGCUAGUUGGUAGGGUAAAAGCCUACCAAGGCGACGAUCCAUAGCUGGUCUGAGAGGAUGAUCAGCUACACUGGGACUGAGACACGGCCCAGACUCCUACGGGAGGCAGCAGUGGGGAAUAUUGGACAAUGGGCGAAAGCCUGAUCCAGCAAUGCCGCGUGAGUGAUGAAGGCCUUAGGGUUGUAAAGCUCUUUUACCCGGGAUGAUAAUGGCAGUACCGGGAGAAUAAGCUCCGGCUAACUCCGUG
This 433-nucleotide ribosomal RNA is filed under the name uncultured bacterium. RNAcentral describes it as "partial 16S ribosomal RNA". It matches the Rfam family "Bacterial small subunit ribosomal RNA", at positions 29 to 507 of the family's 1533-position model. The record is from RNAcentral.